This 77-nucleotide transfer RNA is filed under the name Bdellovibrio sp. RNAcentral describes it as "tRNA-Arg". Lineage: Bacteria; Pseudomonadati; Bdellovibrionota; Bdellovibrionia; Bdellovibrionales; Pseudobdellovibrionaceae. The record is from RNAcentral.
GACCCCGUAGCUCAACUGGAUAGAGCACCAUCCUUCUAAGAUGGGGGUUCCCUGUUCGAGCCAGGGCGGGGUCACCA